AUUACAGAGACUCUGCCCUUUGGGUAGACCUCCCACCCUGUGUCGUUAUACCUCUGUUGCUUUGGCGGGCCGCGGGGCUCCGGCCCCGCCCCUGGCUCCGGCUAGGGCGCGCCCGCCAGAGGACUACCAAACCUGAAUGUUAGUGUCGUCUGAGUACUAUGUAAUAGUUAAAACUUUCAACAACGGAUCUCUUGGUUCUGGCAUCGAUGAAGAACGCAGCGAAAUGCGAUAAGUAAUGUGAAUUGCAGAAUUCAGUGAAUCAUCGAAUCUUUGAACGCACAUUGCGCCCCUUGGUAUUCCGGGGGGCAUGCCUGUUCGAGCGUCAUUACAACCCUCAAGCUCUGCUUGGUCUUGGGCGUCACCGGUCCCCGGUGUGCCUUAAACUCAGUGGCGGCGCCGUCUGGCUCUAAGCGUAGUACAUACUCUCGCUACAGACGCCCGGCGGAUGCUGGCCAGCAACCCCCAAUCUAUCAAGGUUGACCUCGGAUCAGGUAGGGAUACCCGCUGAACUUAAGCAUAU
RNAcentral lists this ribosomal RNA (520 nucleotides) under Pezicula sp. RNAcentral describes it as "eukaryotic LSU rRNA". The stretch from base 172 to 325 matches the Rfam family "5.8S ribosomal RNA". Lineage: Eukaryota; Fungi; Ascomycota; Leotiomycetes; Helotiales; Dermateaceae. The record is from RNAcentral.